RNAcentral lists this ribosomal RNA (497 nucleotides) under uncultured bacterium. RNAcentral's name for it is "partial 16S ribosomal RNA". It matches the Rfam family "Bacterial small subunit ribosomal RNA", at positions 28 to 507 of the family's 1533-position model. The record is from RNAcentral.
GAUGAACGCUGGCGGCGUGCCUAAUACAUGCAAGUCGAGCGAACAGAUAAGGAGCUUGCUCCUUUGACGUUAGCGGCGGACGGGUGAGUUAUACGUGGAUAACCUACCUAUAAGACUGGGAUAACUUCGGGAAACCGGAGCUAAUACCGGAUAACAUAUUGAACCGCAUGGUUCAAUAGUGAAAGGCGGCUUUGCUGUCACUUAUGGAUGGAUCCGCGCCGUAUUAGCUAGUUGGUAAGGUAACGGCUUACCAAGGCAACGAUACGUAGCCGACCUGAGAGGGUGGUCGGCCAGACUGGAACGGAGACACGGUCCAGACUGCUACGGGAGGCAGCAGUAGGGGAUCUUCCGCAAUGGGCGAAAGCCUGACGGAGCCACGCCGCGUGAGUGAUGAAGGUCUUCGGAUCGUAAAACUCUGUUAUCAGGGAAGAACAAAUGUGUAAGUAUCUGUGCACAUCUUGACGGUACCUGAUCAGAAAGCCACGGCUAACUACGUG